CACAACCAUCCUUGAUUUAUGGGCAUGUUCCCGAAGUAGUCACAAAAACCAACUAGGGCAAACUGAUUUCCUGAAAGGGCUAGUAGUACAAACAUCUCUUCCUCAGUUUCUCCAAAGCUUACUAACCAUUUCCCCUAUUGUAUCCAGGGAUUCUACCCUCAGUUCUUUUUUUUUUUUUUUAAUUAUUCCAUUUAUAUGAGUACACUGUAGUUGUCUUCAGACACACCAGAAGAAGGCAUCGGCUUCCAUUACAGAUGGUUGUGAGCCACCAUGUGGUUGCUGGGAAUUGAACUCAGGUCCUCUGGAAGAGCAGGAGGUGCUCUUAACCACUGAGCCAUCUCUCCAGCCCCCAUGUCCAUUUUUUGAAGUUCUUAUUAGCUCUUUGAGGCACUUCAGACAGAAAUGUGCCUGUUCCUCUGUGUUUUCCAUACCACACAGGUGCUUGAAAACCACGCCUUCUGAUGGAUUUACGACAGAACCUGUCUUCCUCUUCUGCCCAUUCCCAGAGUUCCCAGUUAUGGCAGCAAUCUGCUUAUGUCCCUUUGAAGAAAGAACAACGGAAAGCAGGUGACCCCCAAGCAAUGGCGAUUUUGGUCAACGUACUCAAGCCCAGCAAUGACGUGAUAUGAGGAGAGCCAAUAAAGGAAGAAAUAUUUUAACA
Molecule: long non-coding RNA, 661 nt
Filed under: Mus spicilegus (steppe mouse)
Lineage: Eukaryota; Metazoa; Chordata; Mammalia; Rodentia; Muridae
Description: lncRNA (ENSMSIG00000018295.1)
Source: RNAcentral